Molecule: long non-coding RNA, 2306 nt
Organism: Ostrea edulis (European flat oyster)
Lineage: Eukaryota; Metazoa; Mollusca; Bivalvia; Ostreida; Ostreidae
Exons: 2
Source: RefSeq, a predicted model, not a curated record
CCUGAAAAGGACAGAAAAGAAAAUUUUUCUUAGAUUACGACAAAAGUGGGGACUAUGUAAUGAAAAAAUAAUCAAUUUGGUUCAGGGUAAUAUUUUUCGCAUAAAUUAUCCUAGUUCAGACUAUCACAAACUGGCGAAAGAAAGAACCCGACACGGGACACGCGGACAACUGACAGUCUUAUGUAAAGCAGAAAAUGACCACCACAAUGGGGGUCACGGUUCAUCUGUACCAAAUACCACAUCAAAGGAACCUUCGGAUCUUUCAAGUUUUCUAAAUUGAGUAACAGGAUUUAAUUCACUAGGUUUGAAUUUUGAUUUCAAAUUAUUUAAAUGUCUGUUAUCUCUGAUUGAUCAUUGUCGGUUUUUGCUUUGGUUGAUUCAUUAUUGGGAUUUUUUUAAACAUCAGAAUUAUUUUAUGGAAUGGUUAUCCCGGAUGUUUUCAGUUGUGAGUAGAAUUCAGUCCGGAUUUUUUUUUUAAAAAAAAAGAGAAUGUCCAGUGUCUAUGUUCUUGGUUCCCUGACAUAUUGUAACCGACAGACCAGAUCGAAGGCUAAUCAAUCACAGGACCCGGAAUCUGGACAGCUCAAACCACGAUCUCAAAUUCUACUGUCAGAACUCAUGUUCAUCAUCCAACAGUCCAAUCAACACGGAUUAUUGACAUCGUGAUAUUCCUUUAAGUACUUGUAUUUAUCUAAUCGUACACGGAAAGUGUUUAUAAAACUGUUUAUAAAUAUCAUUUUAUUUUAUCUAUUAAGGAUGACUUGGAGUUCACAAUUUUGUACAUAAAAUUAAGGAAUAUAUUCUGUAUCAAACUUGUUUUUUUCAAUUUUAGCUAGGUUUUAAAAAUUGGCACAAUAAUUAAAUUUAGGCAAUUUUAGUAUGGAAUGUAAUCGUCAAAUUUGGUAUACAGAACUUAGCAGAAUGAAAAACAAAACAACAAACAGACGAAAUUAACAAGGUACAAAGUUCCAUUUCAAUAACUUUUACAUGAUAGUGUUGAUAUCGUAAAUCUUUAAUUGGGUGGGUGUUUUAUGACACACACGUAGUCGCCAUGUUGUAAAUUUUAUAUACGCAACCAUCCUGGAAAUUCAAAGUUUACAACCUGACACGAGUUUUACUUUUUAUUUUCAGCUUUUUACAAUAAAUCGAAUUUUUUCCCUUUCAAACUUUACAAUCUGAGAUGUGUAUGAUUUUUUUCAUAAUAAAUCAAUUUAUUUCUUCAUCUGAUACAUGUAGUUUAAAAAUACGAAUUUAACUUAGUUUUGUACAUUAUAACAAUUAAAACAUAAAAUCAGUGAAUAAUGCAUAUGAUUAACAGUAAUAAAUCAAAUUCUUGUUUUAAAAAAAUAACAUUUAUCUAUCGAACAUGUGUACGUACGUUUUAUUCUUACAAAUCCAUAUCUGACUUUAUUUUGAAAUCAUGCGAAUUAUUUAUGUUAUUUUCUACUCUCAAAAUGCAUAAAAUAGUACAAUAUUUAUUUGAUAUAUAUAUAUCAGACAUAAAACAAAAACUCAUGGUAUAAAGUUCCUUCAAAUAAAAAUUUAGAUACAUGUAUUUCAUUGGACAAUUUUUUUUAAUAGCAAAACAAAUAAAAAUAAAAACAAACAAACAGAAAAACAAAUUUGGCGUGAAAAUAGUGUAUACUUUUAUGCAGUCCCUGGGUUUUCAACUGAUUGAAACAAUUUGAAUCAAUGGUAUGCUAAAUUGUAUAAAAUAUACAAGGUAGAAAUAUUCAGAAAACAGUAGGAAAGUGAAUCUCUACAUUCUUCUUGGUAGAUGUUGGGCAGAUGUAUCCCUCUGUUAUAUUAAAUUACUUUAAUUUUUACGGAUAAAUUUGAAACUUUGAUUAAUUUACAUGACCCAAAGAUAAAACAAAUUGGUGAAGUGUUUAAUUUACAAAAUAAUUUCUUUAUUACUCAGAAAACUUAUCUAAACUUCUUUAUAGAAACACACAGACUUUCACGGUCACUUGAGAAUCACGUUUCUAGAGAUAAACAUUUCGUGUUUUCCUGGCAAACGCAGGCUUUAUAUUUCUUAUUGUUGUAGACGUUGUGUUUUUGUGUACUUGUAUAUGAUGCCAGAUAUUACUCCCGUUUUUCGUAUUCUGUGCAAUUCAAGCACAGAGUGCACGACCAAAUUGCAUAUUGUAAAACGAAAGUAGUCAAUCGUCAAUGUUUAGGAAAUCAAAUAAGACAUUGAUCUGUGAACAUCAUUUUUUUUUUUAACUUUUCUGCUUAAAAAAUCCACCCUCAUUAUUAUUUAGAACAUAUUUUUGAUGUGCAUAUAAUUAAAAUGGAAUAUUUAA